RNAcentral lists this ribosomal RNA (515 nucleotides) under Pichia kudriavzevii. Its description in RNAcentral is "eukaryotic LSU rRNA". It matches the Rfam family "Eukaryotic large subunit ribosomal RNA", at positions 133 to 664 of the family's 3401-position model. Lineage: Eukaryota; Fungi; Ascomycota; Pichiomycetes; Pichiales; Pichiaceae. The record is from RNAcentral.
GCGGCACGAGUUGUAGAUUGCAGGUUGGAGUCUGUGUGGAAGGCGGUGUCCAAGUCCCUUGGAACAGGGCGCCCAGGAGGGUGAGAGCCCCGUGGGAUGCCGGCGGAAGCAGUGAGGCCCUUCUGACGAGUCGAGUUGUUUGGGAAUGCAGCUCCAAGCGGGUGGUAAAUUCCAUCUAAGGCUAAAUACUGGCGAGAGACCGAUAGCGAACAAGUACUGUGAAGGAAAGAUGAAAAGCACUUUGAAAAGAGAGUGAAACAGCACGUGAAAUUGUUGAAAGGGAAGGGUAUUGCGCCCGACAUGGGGAUUGCGCACCGCUGCCUCUCGUGGGCGGCGCUCUGGGCUUUCCCUGGGCCAGCAUCGGUUCUUGCUGCAGGAGAAGGGGUUCUGGAACGUGGCUCUUCGGAGUGUUAUAGCCAGGGCCAGAUGCUGCGUGCGGGGACCGAGGACUGCGGCCGUGUAGGUCACGGAUGCUGGCAGAACGGCGCAACACCGCCCGUCUUGGAAACACGGGA